This 497-nucleotide ribosomal RNA is filed under the name uncultured bacterium. Its description in RNAcentral is "partial 16S ribosomal RNA". It matches the Rfam family "Bacterial small subunit ribosomal RNA", at positions 28 to 507 of the family's 1533-position model. The record is from RNAcentral.
GAUGAACGCUGGCGGCGUGCCUAAUACAUGCAAGUCGAGCGAACAGACGAGGAGCUGGCUCCCCCGACGUUAGCGGCGGACGGGAGAGUCACCCGUGGAUAACCUACCUAUCCGACUGGGAUAACUACGGGAAACCGGAGCUACCACCGGAUAAUAUAUCGAACCGCAUGGUUCAAUAGUGAAAGACGGUUUUGCUGUCACUUAUAGAUGGACCCGCGCCGCAUUCGCUAGUUGGUCAGGUAACGGCUUACCAAGGCAACGACGCGUAGCCGACCUGAGCGGGUGAUUGGCCACCCUGGAACUGAGGCACGGUCCAGACUCCGGCGGGGGGCAGCAGUAGGGACUCUUCCGCGAUGGGGGAGAGCCUGACGGAGGAACGCCGCGGGAGGGAUGAAGGUCGUCGGAUCGUAGAGCUCUGUUAUUAGGGAAGAACAAAUGUGUAAGUAACUAUGCACGUCUUGACGGUACCUGGUCAGAAAGCCCCGGCUAACUACGUG